AGCAUCAGGGAGAGGAAAGAAAGAAUGUCAAAUUGUUACGUUAACUUCCGAUCCCCGUAACUUCUCCGUCCGAGCUCCAAUUGCCGCACUGUUUGCGGCCAAGCGUUCACCGCAUCGAGCUCUACAUUUCUACCGGAACAAUUUCAUAGGAUCCAAUUAACUUGAGGAAAACGUUUACUCUUGCUUAUGUGAAGCUUGGGUAAGGUUGUGAAUAAAUAAUUGGAGCUUGAAAUUGUGAAUACUAAAACUUGGAGGAAGCAGAUUAGUUGAGGUUUUGAGGGCUGUGUUCUUUUAGGAAAAUUGUCUUGGAAUAAUACUUGGGAAUCGGCUAAGAUGCAGGUCGAAAGGCAUCUCGUUAGGCGUCUGGACUCUUGAAGCAAAGUGAUUACUAGGUUUAUUUUGUUGUAUAGUGAUGUAUAUAUAUGUACCUAGCUUUCUCUCUGCAUGACUUAUUCUUUUUGAUCCUCUUAGAGGUUUAUGGAGAGGCAGGAUUGUGUUUAUGUACUUUUGGGUUUUGGAUAUGUAUAUAUAUAUGUGUAAAUAUUCUCCGGCCAGUCUUGACUUCGCAGGCUGAGUUAGGAGCUUGUUAUUUUGUAUCUUUGGCACUCUAUUCCUACUUCUAUUAUCUUAUGUCUAAUAGUUAUGGUUUU
Long non-coding RNA from Arachis duranensis, 650 nucleotides. RefSeq lists it as uncharacterized. The transcript has 4 exons. The record is from RefSeq and is a predicted model, not a curated record. NCBI's taxonomy places the organism in Eukaryota, Viridiplantae, Streptophyta, Magnoliopsida, Fabales, Fabaceae.